Molecule: non-coding RNA, 140 nt
Filed under: Gallibacterium salpingitidis
Lineage: Bacteria; Pseudomonadati; Pseudomonadota; Gammaproteobacteria; Pasteurellales; Pasteurellaceae
Description: FMN sequence
Rfam family: FMN riboswitch aptamer (RFN element)
About the family: The RFN element is a highly conserved domain that is found frequently in the 5'-untranslated regions of prokaryotic mRNAs that encode for flavin mononucleotide (FMN) biosynthesis and transport proteins.
Source: Rfam by way of RNAcentral
CCGCAUUCUCAGGGCGGGGCGAAAUUCCCCACCGGUGGUAAGCGUAAGUAAGCCCACGAGCGUUCAUACCCUGUAUGAAGUCAGCAGAUUUGGUGAAAAUCCAAAGCCGACAGUGAUAGUCUGGAUGGUAGAGAAUAGCG